RNAcentral lists this ribosomal RNA (400 nucleotides) under uncultured bacterium. RNAcentral describes it as "bacterial SSU rRNA". It matches the Rfam family "Bacterial small subunit ribosomal RNA", at positions 356 to 773 of the family's 1533-position model. The record is from RNAcentral.
GGGGAAUAUUGCACAAUGGAGGAAAGCCUGAUGCAGCAACGCCGCGUGAGUGAAGAAGGUUUUCGGAUUGUAAAGCUCUGUCAUCUGGGACGAUAAUGACGGUACCAGAUGAGGAAGCCACGGCUAACUACGUGCCAGCAGCCGCGGUAAUACGUAGGUGGCAAGCGUUGUCCGGAAUUACUGGGCGUAAAGGGUGCGCAGGCGGACAUUUAAGUGAGAUGUGAAAUCCCCGGGCUUAACUUGGGGGCUGCAUUUCAAACUGGAUGUCUAGAGUGCAGGAGAGGAAAGCAGAAUUCCUAGUGUAGCGGUGAAAUGCGUAGAGAUUAGGAAGAAUACCAGUGGCGAAGGCGACUUUCUGGACUGUAACUGACACUGAGGCUCGAAAGCGUGGGGAGCAAAC